UGCUGAUUUAUGGCAUGGGUAUGUUAAGUAUGUUAGGUAUUACACAAUUUCUGUCACUGAUAUACUGCCUGAUAUUUUUGAAGUAGUGGUUAACUAUUUUAUUUGAGUAUCUUCUUGGAAUGAUAUUAAACCAUGUACAUCAAGUUCAGAUUUGAACUGUAAAGACAGCACUGCUGGAUGAGAAUGACAAUGUUGAUGCUCUGGUCAGGGUAACCCCCAUCACACUUUUGCUCCUUCACUAGAAGACCUUGGAGAGCAGAGUCCAGUGGAGUUGAGCAACUGUUGUAGGUGUGAUUCAGAGUGACUCUUCCUGAUAACUUCCUGCACCAAUUCUCAGGACAAGCUUCUAAGAAUGGUGGUGAAACAUAAGGAAUUGGUAACCUGUUGUGACUGAUUUCAGAGGUGGUGAGCUACAUUUGGGAUUUUCUCCAUGAUGAACUGUUAAAAGAGGUGAAAUACCCAGAAAUAAAGUGGAAAAAAAAGAAGCAACUGACCAAUAAUCUACCUAGAAAUCAUCCAGCCUGGAUCUCAGCUGCAAAAUGCUUCCUGUCAACUCUGAGGCUUGAUAUACAGUGAUAUUAGAGGGAAAGACUUAAAACUGUGUUUGAAUGGAAACCCAGAUGGCCACUAGGAAGAACUGUGCAGCCGUAACAGACAAGCACCUUGAAGAAAUAUCUGUCUGAAUUACUUGUCACUCCCUGUGCAGACCAUUACACAAGCCACUUGCUCCCUUGCUUACAAUGAAUUUAAAGUGCUAAUGUCAACUUAUUUAUCUGGCAUCCUAGACUCCUAGGUCACCUAGGUACUUUUGAAGAUCUGUCUCUUUCAAAUUACUUUCUAUAAUUCAU
RNAcentral lists this long non-coding RNA (848 nucleotides) under Numida meleagris (helmeted guineafowl). RNAcentral's name for it is "lncRNA (ENSNMEG00000010891.1)". Lineage: Eukaryota; Metazoa; Chordata; Aves; Galliformes; Numididae. The record is from RNAcentral.